This 1118-nucleotide small RNA is filed under the name Drosophila mojavensis. RNAcentral's name for it is "GI26083". The record is from RNAcentral. Lineage: Eukaryota; Metazoa; Arthropoda; Insecta; Diptera; Drosophilidae.
AGAAGAAGCAGCUGGCACUCACACAAGAGACCGACAAAUUGGAGAGCGCAGUGAGCUAUCAUUGUUGCCGUCGCAUCUACUGUUGUUGUUGUAGCGGAUGCUGUUGUUGUGGGAGCAAAAAUAUUUUAACGCAAUUAGAGACCGAAGCAUCGUCGUGGCAUCAGAUCCAGAGCGAACGCGCACGCAGAUGGACACGGUGCACGGAUAAAAUCAAAUAGAAGCCGUAACACGCAGCACAGUGUUUUUGUAUGUGAAUGCCUGAAACUCCAUAAACCCAGUUUUGCAAAAAACGUGGUGAAACGUGCGCCAACGAGUGAGUUAGUGAGUGAGUGAAAUCAUAGUAAAUGCAAAGCGACUCAAUUAACUGUGAAAUCCAGCUGCAUCAAGAACAAACUAUGAGGUGUGAAGAAUAAGUGAGCGGGAUAGCGAAAGUGAGAGCGAGCAAGAUAGACGAGCGCAAACAAUUUGUUGAAUACUGCUGCGUUCGCACUAGCGACCGAAAGAAAGCAAAAGUGAAGAAUAUCACACAAACACGCACACAAACAAACAGGCGCGCUCACAGACACACACUCACACACAUUAAGAACUCUGUAAUGCGUGUAUUUGUGUAACUACUUAAUACAGAUGCAAAUACAAAAUUUCAAUAUACACACGCACACAUAGGAAAGCGCAAAAAAGAGUGCUGCCAACUAAAGUUGAGUGGAAAAAAACCUCAGCAAAGCCCAGCAAGAUUGGCGGCGCAUAAGUUAAAAGGACAAAGACGAUUAAACAGCUUCGCUGUCGGCGACAGCGGGAGCAGCAGGGACAGCGGUAACGGUAACGACAGCGGCAGCAGCAGCGACAGCAUCAGUACGAAAGGGAUGUAUCUAAGUAAAACUUGGGAAGCAGAGUUUUACUGUUAGCUGGCAAUAUAAUAAACGCGUGUGUUUAUGUAAAUAUUUGGCACAGAGCGCGGAGGCGAGGCGGCGUAGGAGCAACAGCAGGACGCGAUUGACGACAUUGUUGCUGUGCGGCGGAUAGCGCGUUUAGUGUAUAAUAUUUGAAAUCAAAGCGAAAGGGUAUGAACAUGUCGGUGCGGCUCUGUAUCAAGCACAAGAUUCACAUGCGCACCACGGCUG